Molecule: unclassified non-coding RNA, 248 nt
Filed under: Hevea brasiliensis (rubber tree)
Lineage: Eukaryota; Viridiplantae; Streptophyta; Magnoliopsida; Malpighiales; Euphorbiaceae
Source: RNAcentral
GGCGUGCAGAUAUCGAUCAAAUUUGGGAAUGGCUAAACCAAGCGAAACAGGGAUGGAAGCCCUGCACCACCUGAAAUCCACGGACCCUCCAGCAUUGUUGGCACCAUCGCCCACGCUCUCCCAAACAGCGCGGACGGCGUCUCAACACCUAUUCUCUUGCCUCAAACCAUACGCUCCUAAAUCGCCGUUCGAUCAACUUUUAACUGAUGGCUUUGAUGCCGAGCAGAUUUGGCAGCAAAUUGACCUGC